Pelobates cultripes (western spadefoot toad) is the source of this 430-nucleotide non-coding RNA. The record is from the annotation of a GenBank genome assembly. NCBI's taxonomy places the organism in Eukaryota, Metazoa, Chordata, Amphibia, Anura, Pelobatidae.
GACUUCUCCCUCCCAGCCGAGAUUUUGUUACGUUGAGAUACAAAGUUGCUUUGUGAGCUCACUUUCAGAAAUAUAACUGUAAACUAGAUCCCUGCUUGAUUUAUCAUUGCUGCUGACCUCUCCAACCCUUUAAAAACCAGACUGUCCCUUGACUCUGCAUUUAUUUGCAGUUUUAAACAGGUUGCCAUUCCUAAUUUCAGCUACUCCUGCUAAACUCAACUCUAAACGUAUUGCUCCAAUACACCAGAAAUCCCAACUCAAUUUAAAGUGGAUUGCAAAUGCCAUCAAUCUGACUACUAUAGAUACAGCAGAACCCCAACAAGGUAUCAUUUCCAUUUAUUUUGUCUGAUACUAAAUGUUCCUGAAUUAUACAAACCCCACCACUGAUUGGAUAUCUUAAAGUGAUAUAUACUUGCGGGUUUGUUUGUUU